Lepidothrix coronata (blue-crowned manakin) is the source of this 968-nucleotide long non-coding RNA. RefSeq lists it as uncharacterized. The record is from RefSeq and is a predicted model, not a curated record. The transcript has 3 exons. NCBI's taxonomy places the organism in Eukaryota, Metazoa, Chordata, Aves, Passeriformes, Pipridae.
CCGCCGGGGGAUGUGGUUCUGGGCCCCGCGCAGCCGGGGCCGCUCACCGGCCGGAUUCCUCUGGGGACCAGCAAGAGUCACGGCGUUCUGUGUCCAAGCGGCACGUUAAACAGCGGCACCACACUGCGGGUCACCAGUGUGUGACCUCACGUGCUCACGCCUUGCCUCGGGCACGGCAAGUCAGGGAGAAACUGUUGUGCACAGCACAGAACAACUGUGCUCACGAGUGCUGUAGAACGGCGUGUCUGAUCUAGAGCAGCACCGACAGGGUGGGUGUUGUAGAACAAGGAGCUCUGGAGCAGCACUGACAGGAUCCUCAGUGUCAUCUGUGAACUCACUGAGUUGUCCAGAUCAUCAAUAAAGAUAUGAAGCAGGACUGGGCCCAGUCCUGAGCCCUGGGGAACACCACUAGUGGCUGGUCCCAGCUGGAUGUGGCACCAUUCCACCACUCUCUGGGCCUGGCCAUCCAGACAGUUUUUAACCCAGCCAAGAGUGCACCUGUUCAGCUGCAGCUUCUCCAGGAGAAUCCCGUGGCAGACAGUAUGGAAGGCUUUACUGAAGUCCAGGAAGACCCAUCCACAGCCUUUCCCUCGCUCACUAGAUGGGUCACCUGCCAUAAAGAGAGAUCAGUGCCACAGUUCAAACUCAUCCAAUACAGAGGAGAUCAAAGCCUUUGCUUGCUGGGAGAAGGCUGGAAAGAGGAAGUCAUUCUCUUGGACCCAAAUCUCUCUGUCUCAGUAGGCCACACCACAGUUGUACAGACAGCAUUUCUCUCCUUCCCUCACAGCUUAAACUCAGUGCUGCAUUUCUGAUUUCUAAAGAGUAAACUUCAAAAAAAAUCUUCAGUUGUAAAAGACUGAAGGUAAUGCAUUAGAAUUGACUCAUUCAGCAGGUCACUGAACUACAGGCAGUCACGAAAAGGAAAUGAAUCUCCAAGCAAAACCAAAAUAGAGAACCAAACAGAGGAA